GAUGAAGAACGCAGUGAAAUGCGAUAAGUAAUGUGAAUUGCAGAAUUCCGUGAAUCAUCGAAUCUUUGAACGCACAUUGCGCCCGCCAGUAUUCUGGCGGGCAUGCCUGUUCGAGCGUCAUUUCAACCCUCAAGCCCCCGGGCUUGGUGUUGGGGAUCGGCCGCCCUCCGGCGCGCCGGCCCCGAAAUCUAGUGGCGGUCUCGCUGUAGCCUCCUCUGCGUAGUAGCACACCUCGCACCGGAACGCAGCCUGGCCACGCCGUUAAACCCCCCACUUCUGAAGGUUGACCUCGGAUCAGGUAGGAAUACCCGCUGAACUUAAGCAUAUCAAUAAGCGGAGGA
This 341-nucleotide unclassified non-coding RNA is filed under the name soil metagenome. RNAcentral's name for it is "partial contains 5.8S ribosomal RNA, internal transcribed spacer 2, and large subunit ribosomal RNA". The stretch from base 1 to 120 matches the Rfam family "5.8S ribosomal RNA", at positions 35 to 154 of the family's 154-position model. The record is from RNAcentral.